UUUUCACAACAACUCAUCUACAUUGAAAUGGCUAUUUGGACUCUCAGAAUUUAAGGGGAAUUAAACAACAAUAAACAAAAAUCAAAUGUCCACAUAGGGAAAACCAAACUAAAAUGCAACUAUCAAUUACUCCAAAAGUGCAGAAAUAACAUUUAAAACUACUCUUUACAAAUUUCAGCUUGAUCAAACCAACUUCAAGCUCAUCCUUUCUCAUACAUUAAGAGAUGUGGUGAAUACCUGGAAGUCAAAAGAAAAACAAAAGGGUGCAGAAUCAGCAGAACAACAGCAGAAAAAGAGCCUCAGAAUCAGUCAAUGAGACAGCGAAUUCAACUCAAGAACAAACAAUGGAACAAUAAUGGAGUAAUCAGUGCAAAAACCAACUUCAAACUAAAAAACUCAAGCCAUUGCUCAGCCAGAAGUGCAGCUAGGAAAACUCUUUAUGUAUUUUAGCUAGACAAAAGAAGUUAGGGAUCCAAACAAACUGAAUUUAGAUAGUUCUUCUACAAUGAAAUGUAUGAAUUGCGGAAUUUCCAAACGAAUUUAACCGUUUAGCUUUCAAUAUUUUUUUAGUGUUCUUUUUCUGCCCUCUACAAUGAAUGGAAAGAGAGAUUAUAUAGGCAUGCCUAAGGCAGCCCUAGUACAGCUAGCCAAUUCCCUAUUUAUCCCUCUUUCCUUAGUUAUUUUUUUUUACCCUUUUACCCCUUUUUUAAAAAUAUCUGAAAUUUUCAGCUCUUAUCAUAUUCUUUAGAACCUUCUAUCCUAAUAGAAAUUGAUUCCUUCAUACCCUAAACCCCUAAACUGACCUUAGACCAAUUGGUUAUUACAAUCCCUGCCCCCAUUUUUGAGACCCCUCUAAGUUUCUAUACUUACAAUUAACCCCCUAUGGAUCCCUGAAGACUAACAAACAAAACCACUCAAACAAAAAGCCCUUAACCGGAUCAAAACAAAUUUAAAAAACUCAGAAAUUUUGAACAAUUUAAAAGUUGGAAAACAAACUUGCCAUGAACCAAUUAUAAUGUGAACUUCACAGAAUUAUUUUAGCCAACUGAGACAUGCUCAAGCAUUUUAAUAGAAGAAAUAUCCGCAAAACCAAUUUCGAUUAAACCAACAUGAUUUUAAAUAGCUUUGAACACCUAAUUUAACUGAAACGAAUGUCUGAAAUCUCAAUAACCAAUGAUUAAUAAUACUGAAAUCCGAGGAUAAAAACAAUCAAAAGAAGAGAAAGACAAAAAGGAACUAAACUACACUAGGCAGGGUUUUACAAAGCAAAGGUAAACUUAAACAUGGAAGAGGAAAAGAAAAAGAACACAAAUCUCAGAACCAUAGGGGCACAAAACUAUAUCUGAGAACAGUAUUAAGGGGCAAAUCUCACUAAAUUGAAACCAAUGACCGGGACUAUCUCUAAAUGACUGAAAAUUGAGACUAAUCAGUUGUUCUUGUCAAGAACAACUAAUUAGCCUUUAUUUCCGGCUAAUUCGAAGCUUGAAAAUCACUCGAAAACUUGUUGCAUAUUCGUGACUUGGGGUCAAUAGCAAAGUUUUUGGGAAAUUAACCAUGAAAUCACAAUGAAGGAAGGCCAAAGACUAUGGAACUUGAGUUUUGAGUGAUUUGGGAAAAUUAGGUUUUGGAUCUCAUUUUUCGAUCCAACAUUCGAGCCAAACUAGAGGGAUUCAAGGGACAUGGGUUAGAGAUUUGGAGAGAGAAAGCAAUGGGGGUUCUGGGGUGUAAUUUUGGUGGUGUUUGGAGGUGGCGCUGCCACCCUAAAGCAUUGGAGGAAUGGGGGCGGCUUCUAGGGUUUAUGAUGGGUCUCUGAUUGGGGUGUGUGAGAGAGACGAG
Molecule: long non-coding RNA, 1836 nt
Filed under: Nicotiana tabacum (common tobacco)
Lineage: Eukaryota; Viridiplantae; Streptophyta; Magnoliopsida; Solanales; Solanaceae
Description: long non-coding RNA (NTAB_LNC016586)
Source: RNAcentral